RNAcentral lists this ribosomal RNA (504 nucleotides) under uncultured bacterium. RNAcentral describes it as "partial 16S ribosomal RNA". It matches the Rfam family "Bacterial small subunit ribosomal RNA", at positions 29 to 523 of the family's 1533-position model. The record is from RNAcentral.
AUUGAACGCUGGCGGCAGGCCUAACACAUGCAAGUCGAGCGGUAGCACAGAGAGCUUGCUCUCGGGUGACGAGCGGCGGACGGGUGAGUAAUGUCUGGGAAACUGCCUGAUGGAGGGGGAUAACUACUGGAAACGGUAGCUAAUACCGCAUAACGUCGCAAGACCAAAGUGGGGGACCUUCGGGCCUCAUGCCAUCAGAUGUGCCCAGAUGGGAUUAGCUAGUAGGUGGGGUAACGGCUCACCUAGGCGACGAUCCCCAGCUGGUCUGAGAGGCUGACCAGCCACACUGGAACUGAGACACGGUCCAGACUCCUACGGGAGGCAGCAGUGGGGAAUAUUGCACAAUGGGCGCAAGCCUGAUGCAGCCAUGCCGCGUGUGUGAAGAAGGCCUUCGGGUUGUAAAGCACUUUCAGCGGGGAGGAAGGCGCCAAGGUUAAUAACCUUGGCGAUUGACGUUACCCGCAGAAGAAGCACCGGCUAACUCCGUGCCAGCAGCCGCGGUAA